UAAGAAGGGGGAAGAGUCAGUUGACGAGGACGAUCUCCUUGCCUAUGACAAGGAGGACGCCAACGUCACAGUGUUGCGUAAAGACAAAAAAGGAGAUGGUGAGAGUAACCCAAAUUAAUCUCCACCACUCCAAAGCAGCCUCGGCUGCACUGCUCCUCCGAAUGGGUGUAAGUGGGGAGGAGCUCGCCCUAGUCCAGGAACCCUGGAUUCACCAAGAAAGGGUGAGUGGACUAGGCAUGAAAAGCUUUAAGCUAUUGUACGCAAAAGGAUCUGUGAUGAAGACACCGUAGCAGCCAUAUGGGAGACCAGUGUAGGUGCUAUAUUGGUUAUCUCGGCGUACAUGGCUCACGAUCACAGCGACCAGCCACCGAACAACCUGGUCUGCAGAUCCAUAGAGAUGGCAAACUCAAAAAGCAUGCCGAUCAUUAUGGGGGCUGAUGCCAACGCCCAUCACACUGUCUGGGGAAGCUCGGACAUAAACGCUAGAGGGCCCACAACCUGGACUAUUGUUAGCUGGAGCUAUACAGUUGCCACCUGAUUACAGUGCUUCUUCUUUUAAUUGGUGUGUCAGGGUGCACACGACAUUGUCAAAAACUUUAAAGUGGCAGUGGAAAGUGUUAAAUUUUUUAAGAAAAUGUAAUCUUUUUAAGUUUAUUACAUAAAAAAGUGGUAAGAAGACAAUGUUGUUAAAAAUAAUAAAGUUCGAAUAUUGGUCUAAUGGUACUGAUGGACGACCUUUGUUUGAGUUAUAAUUUUAGGAAACGUUAUAAUAGACCAAUCUUCGACACGACAGAAGCGUGAAAAAACGAAGGAUUUAUGUUCUAAAAAGUUAACAUCAGUUCUUACCUCUGCUACCGACAUGAGAUAUGAGGCGAUCUUAAUGAAUAAGUAUACAAGGAAUGAAAAUUUCGCAAGUGAGUAUAAAACUUUUAAAACUGAUAAAACAACAUGAUGUCACCAAAAGAAGCUUUGGGUGUCGUGAGAGCUAUCAACCUUUACGUCCAAAGGCUAAUUAGUCAUUUCCAUCAUAUAAAUUAGUACAUGAAGCUAAAAAACUGUGCUACCCAAAGUACAGUAUUUACUUCAGCACACUAGCGAACGUCUAACAAAGAGGAUUGAUUUUAAAUAUGCUUGAACCUUCACAGUAAAUGGGGUCUUGAUAAGACCACUGGACAUAACCGUUAUAACGUUGUGUGAAAAUAGACUUCAAGGCAUUUAAAAAAGUAAUAAACUUUAAGUUCAGCGUACAUGCUGCUUGGGUAUAAGUGGUGCCAUGUGUACUACUUCAACCAAGGCUCUGGAAACGUUGCUAGG
This is a long non-coding RNA of Lucilia cuprina (Australian sheep blowfly), 1314 nucleotides long. RefSeq lists it as uncharacterized. The transcript has 3 exons. NCBI's taxonomy places the organism in Eukaryota, Metazoa, Arthropoda, Insecta, Diptera, Calliphoridae. The record is from RefSeq and is a predicted model, not a curated record.